This is a long non-coding RNA of Dreissena polymorpha, 1363 nucleotides long. RefSeq lists it as uncharacterized. Lineage: Eukaryota; Metazoa; Mollusca; Bivalvia; Myida; Dreissenidae. The transcript has 5 exons. The record is from RefSeq and is a predicted model, not a curated record.
AGUCUGCUACAGCAGCACAACAUCAUCCAUCAUUGUAGGACUGAUAGAGGACGACACCAUCCUGGUGUUCAGAGUGGAAUAGUGUGUACAUUUGCUGCUGGGUCGGGACAACGAUGCUGAGGAUGUGGGGGACAAGCAUGACGCAGAAGGUGAGCACCAGCAUUGAUAUCCAGUUGGCCAAGCAACAGCACCAUUCCGGCCUGCAGGAGCCCCAACACUAAAUGAUCCUUUGCCUUCCCUGAUCCCUAGCUCCUCCCACUGGACCUCCGGCCUCAAAGGGUCAGCAUCGUUACACAAGUCUGUUCUGCAAUAAAUCCUCAGCACGUCAAGUUUUCACGCGCUGUUAUGAACAACCAAAAUGUCUGUGUCGAGGUUUCCCCAAUCAAGCCCGAGUAGUUUUGUUUAGCUCUAGUGCCCGAGUGGGAUGAGUGUUACAGAAGAGAGACGUUAUAGCAGUACUUAUGGUAACGCUAACAGUUAACGCUAACAGUUAGUUCUCGCUGUGGACAUCACGAAGAAUUAAACGUUGAAUAAUUUGUUUAAUUCUUUAUAAGACAGCUUUUUAUUCAGCGAGGAACGGGAGCAAAUCAAGGAACAAUCGAAACAAUAUAUUGGGAAGUAUAUCUGCUGUAGAUAGUUAGGACAGUAGUAGCGUUACGGACUGUCCUCAGUGCACCAUUUAUUCAUGUGGUGCGCAUCAGACGCGAAUUCCGCCCAUUAUUGAGAGGGCGUCGCAUUGAAUUGAGACUAAAGGAGGCUUUGAAACAUGACACCAGUUUUGUUGUAUGGUCCAGUACGCCAUUCGACUCUCAACCCGAAGUUAAUCAGAACUCAAACUCGGCCCUUAACAAUAUCCGAGAGGCCAGCAUAUCAGCUCAGCUUCUGAGCUUCAGAGCCUGUUCCUCCUGGUCCAGGACCUUUGGACAAAUGUUCAAAUAGUACUACCCACAGGAUGAAGCCACUCUGAAUCCGGGGCUCCAUACUUUCUUGGCCAGGGGCCAAGACUACCUCGUCAAUAAGCAGAGCACCAGCAUUGAUAUCAAGUUGGCCCAGCAUCCGCACGAGUUCCGCCUGCAGGAGCCCCAGUUCAGAACAAUCCUUCCCCUCCCCUGACUUCUAACUCCUCCCCCUUGACCUCCUGACUCAAAAAGUCAGCAUCGUUGAACAACUCCGUUCUGCAGGAAAUUCUGAGCAUGAUUCUGUUCUGAACAAACGCAAUGCCAACGUCAAGUUGUCCAUACAUAAGCCUGGGUAGUUUUGUUAAUCUAGAGUUCCCCGUGGGCCUGAGAGGGAUGAGUGUUACAGACACGAAAAGUUAUAACAGUCGUUAUGGUUACGCCAACAGUCAGUAGUUGCUGUUAGA